This 400-nucleotide ribosomal RNA is filed under the name uncultured bacterium. RNAcentral's name for it is "bacterial SSU rRNA". It matches the Rfam family "Bacterial small subunit ribosomal RNA", at positions 355 to 772 of the family's 1533-position model. The record is from RNAcentral.
UGGGGAAUAUUGGACAAUGGGCGAAAGCCUGAUCCAGCAAUUCCGCGUGGGUGAAGAAGGUCUUCGGAUUGUAAAGCCCUUUCGUUGGGGACGAUGAUGACGGUACCCAAAGAAGAAGCCCCGGCUAACUUCGUGCCAGCAGCCGCGGUAAUACGAAGGGGGCUAGCGUUGCUCGGAAUGACUGGGCGUAAAGGGCGCGUAGGCGGCGUUCCAAGUCAGGCGUGAAAUUCCUGGGCUUAACCUGGGGGCUGCGCUUGAGACUGGGGUGCUUGAGGAUGGAAGAGGCUCGUGGAAUUCCCAGUGUAGAGGUGAAAUUCGUAGAUAUUGGGAAGAACACCGGUGGCGAAGGCGGCGAGCUGGUCCAUUUCUGACGCUGAGGCGCGAAAGCGUGGGGAGCAAA